UUCCUGGGGUGUUCGACAACUCCUGUAUUUUUGAACCUACAACUUUAAAAAGGGAUUCCUAUAUCGGUAAGCGGAUGUCGGGCCUCCUCAGAGUGGAUGGCAGUAAGCUUACUUGCGGUCGCCCACCUAGCAUUGGCUAGGAGUCAAGAAGCAGGAAACGGCAUUCCGGGAA
RNAcentral lists this non-coding RNA (172 nucleotides) under bovine gut metagenome. RNAcentral describes it as "6S / SsrS RNA". It matches the Rfam family "6S / SsrS RNA". From Rfam's summary of the family: E. coli 6S RNA was the first non coding RNA to be sequenced, but its function was unknown until recently. It consists of 184 nucleotides that fold into an extended hairpin structure with a large single-stranded internal bulge. The record is from RNAcentral.